Molecule: transfer RNA, 73 nt
Filed under: Candidatus Aenigmatarchaeota archaeon
Lineage: Archaea; Nanobdellati; Candidatus Aenigmatarchaeota
Description: tRNA-His
Rfam family: tRNA
About the family: Transfer RNA (tRNA) molecules are approximately 80 nucleotides in length. Their secondary structure includes four short double-helical elements and three loops (D, anti-codon, and T loops).
Source: RNAcentral
GCAGCUAUAGUGUAGCUUGGUAGCAUGCAAGCCUGUGGAGCUUUCGGGUCGGGUUCAAAUCCCGAUAGCUGCC